RNAcentral lists this long non-coding RNA (384 nucleotides) under Malus domestica (apple). RNAcentral describes it as "long non-coding RNA (MDOM_LNC011655)". Lineage: Eukaryota; Viridiplantae; Streptophyta; Magnoliopsida; Rosales; Rosaceae. The record is from RNAcentral.
UAUUUAAGCAUGGUCUGAGCAUUGGUGCCCAUAUCAGGUGCGGGAACAGUAUGAGUUCCAAUGAGGUCAUGGAUUUUCUCCAUUUCAACCCACGAUCUUCAAUCCAUUUCUUCACUUUAUAGAGACCAUUCACGGGCUUCAAUUUAUAUACAGCCAAUCUGUUUCCAUCAGGGAAAUUAUAUAAGGUGGGAACCAGAAAGAAAUGCUAUGCACACAGCACAGAGAAAGUGAAGCUUUUACCUGCGAAACAUGGCUUCCUUGUCUUCUGUGAACUUUAAGCCUCUUUCGAAGUCAUCAGGAAAGAGUAUCCUGGCAACAUCAUCAUUAUGCUUCCCAGCGAAAUUCUCAAUAUAGUACUCCUCAGUAAUCGGAACACCUCCGUUG